UUGCUUAGGUAGCACAUAUACUAAAAUUAGAAUGACAUAAAGAAGACUAGCGUGGCCCCUGUGCAAGCAGGACACACAACUUUGUGAAGGAUUCCUUUUUUUU
This is a small nuclear RNA of Cricetulus griseus (Chinese hamster), 103 nucleotides long. Lineage: Eukaryota; Metazoa; Chordata; Mammalia; Rodentia; Cricetidae. The record is from Ensembl.